AUGGAUUUCCUCUUCAACUCGCUCGCGGCGCCCGACCCCGCCUCGCCGCCGUCGGAGCCGGAGGAGGCCGCCGCGGGGUCCUCCUCGCCCGCCGGCUCCGGCGACGGGGGCGGGUGGGGCGGCUUCGGCGGGCUGCUCAAGACCCUCACCUCCCAGUCCGAGACCGUGCUCGACGCCUACCGCCGCGACCUCGCCGAGUUCAGCACCGGCCUGCGCCGCGAGACCGACGCGCUCCGCGAGGCCGCCGCCCAGGCGGCCCGGGACCUCCCCUCCUCGGCCCUCGCGCUCGACGGCCUCGCCGACAUCGUCGCCCAGGGCAAGGGCGCCAUCGCCCAGGUCGCCGCCACCGCCGCCGCCUCCGCAGCCUCCCUGCCCGCGCCCUCCGACGCCGACUCCGAGCCCAGCCCCGCCUCGGGCCACCUCAGGUACUACAGCCGCUUCGAGGCGCUGCUCCGCGCGCUCCAGUCGGAUCCGGCCACCUUCACCGCCGAUCCCGAGGACGCCGAGGACUUCGCGGCCUGGGGCGCGGGGUUUAGCCUCCAGGAGAGGCAGGAUGAGAUCGAGGCGCUCUGCUACGAGAGCGACGCCGUGGAGGGGAUGGUGGACAGGCUCGUCCCCGACGCCGUGGAGGGCGAGGUGUUCUGGGCCAGGUACUUUUACCGCGUCCACAAGCUCAAGCAGCAGGAGGACGCCAGGGCCAAGCUCGUCAAGCGGGUCAUCGCGCAGGAGGAAGAGGAGGAUCUGAGCUGGGAGGUGGAUGACGAGGUCGAGGAGGAGGAGCCAGCAAAAGAGGAGGCGAUCAAGCAAGCGCCGAUCAAAGAAGAACCGAAACCUGAAGUACAGGAAAGAGAAAAUGAGAAACUGGAGGCAGAAGGCAGAGUCAAUGCAGUUGAAGAGGCUGGUGCUCUGGAUAAGGAACAGAAGAAUGCCGAUUUACCGCAGCCGGAAGUUUUCGGUAGCUCUAUGGUUGUAGUGGACAAGGAGGAGGAGAAGGAAGAUGCAUCCAAAUUGAAUGUCGAAGAAUCAAGUGACAAGAAAACUGCUGCUGAGGAACCACAUUCUACUGCUGGCGAUGCUGCAGCGAAAGAAGGGACAAAGCAUGAGACAAGUGACUCAAGCAAGGAUAGUGACUACUCCAUGGUUUCUAGACAGCGAACAGCGACCGAGGAGGAUCUCGAAUGGGACGAGAUUGAGGAUCUCGGGGAGCAUGAAGAGAAGAAGGGGAGCGCUCAUGGCUCAAGCUCUGCUCCAAAGGAGGAGCUACAUAAGAGGCUCAGUGUUGCGGAAGACGACGAGGAUUUGAGUUGGGACAUUGAGGAUGAUGAUGAUGAUAAGGCCUGA
Molecule: ribosomal RNA, 1341 nt
Filed under: Triticum aestivum (bread wheat)
Lineage: Eukaryota; Viridiplantae; Streptophyta; Magnoliopsida; Poales; Poaceae
Description: partial small subunit ribosomal RNA
Source: RNAcentral